This 75-nucleotide transfer RNA is filed under the name Chondrocystis sp. NIES-4102. Its description in RNAcentral is "tRNA-Val". It matches the Rfam family "tRNA". From Rfam's summary of the family: Transfer RNA (tRNA) molecules are approximately 80 nucleotides in length. Their secondary structure includes four short double-helical elements and three loops (D, anti-codon, and T loops). Further hydrogen bonds mediate the characteristic L-shaped molecular structure. tRNAs have two regions of fundamental functional importance: the anti-codon, which is responsible for specific mRNA codon recognition, and the 3' end, to which the tRNAs corresponding amino acid is attached (by aminoacyl-tRNA synthetases). tRNAs cope with the degeneracy of the genetic code in two manners: having more than one tRNA (with a specific anti-codon) for a particular amino acid; and 'wobble' base-pairing, i.e. permitting non-standard base-pairing at the 3rd anti-codon position. The record is from RNAcentral. Lineage: Bacteria; Bacillati; Cyanobacteriota; Cyanophyceae; Chroococcales; Chroococcaceae.
UGGGCUAUAACUCAGUUGGUUAGAGUGUCACAUUGACAUUGUGGAAGUCGGCAGUUCGAGUCUGCCUAGCCCAAC